GAUCUGUGACCAGGCUAACUGGCAACAAACAGGUCUGGGACCAGGCUAACUGGCAACAAACAGGUCUGGGACCAGGCUAACUGGCUACAAACAGGUCUGGGACCAGGCUAACUGGCUACAAACAGAUCUGGGACCAGGCUAACUGACAACAAACAGAUCUGGGACCAGGCUAACUGUCAACAAACAGGUCUGGGACCAGGCUAACUGGCAACAAACAGAUCUGGGACCAGGCUAACUGGCAACAAACAGGUCUGGGACCAGGCUAACUGGCAACAAACAGGUCUGGGACCAGGCUAACUGGCAACAAACAGGUCUGGGACCAGGCUAACUGGCAACAAACAGGUCUGGGACCAGGCUAACUGGCAACAAACAGGUCUGGGACCAGGCUAACUGGCAACAAACAGGUCUGGGACCAGGCUAACUGGCAACAAACAGGUCUGGGACCAGGCUAACUGGCAACAAACAGGUCUGGGACCAGGCUAACUGGCUACAAACAGAU
Molecule: long non-coding RNA, 499 nt
Organism: Oncorhynchus keta (chum salmon)
Lineage: Eukaryota; Metazoa; Chordata; Actinopteri; Salmoniformes; Salmonidae
Exons: 4
Source: RefSeq, a predicted model, not a curated record